GGCGAGAUGGCCGAGCGGUCUAAGGCGCCAGACUAAGGUGCACAAGCGGUGGAUUGGUAUCUGGUCCGAAAGGGCGUGGGUUCGAAUCCCACUCUCGUCA
Trametes pubescens is the source of this 100-nucleotide transfer RNA. It matches the Rfam family "tRNA". From Rfam's summary of the family: Transfer RNA (tRNA) molecules are approximately 80 nucleotides in length. The record is from Rfam. NCBI's taxonomy places the organism in Eukaryota, Fungi, Basidiomycota, Agaricomycetes, Polyporales, Polyporaceae.